RNAcentral lists this ribosomal RNA (275 nucleotides) under uncultured bacterium. RNAcentral's name for it is "partial 16S ribosomal RNA". It matches the Rfam family "Bacterial small subunit ribosomal RNA", at positions 338 to 610 of the family's 1533-position model. The record is from RNAcentral.
CCUACGGGUGGCUGCAGUAGGGAAUAUUGGGCAAUGGAGGCAACUCUGACCCAGCCAUCCCGCGUGCAGGAUGAAGGAUCUAUGGUUCGUAAACUGCUUUUGUUAGGGAAGAAAAAGGCUUAUUUAUAAGCAACUGACGGUACCUAACGAAUAAGCACCGGCUAACUCCGUGCCAGCAGCCGCGGUAAUACGGAGGGUGCAAGCGUUAUCCGGAUUCACUGGGUUUAAAGGGUGCGUAGGCGGCUAUAUAAGUCAGUGGUGAAAGCCCGCAGCUC